AGAACGAACGCUGGCGGCAUGCCUAAUACAUGCAAGUCGAACGAACUCUUCGGAGUUAGUGGCGCACGGGUGCGUAACGCGUGGGAAUCUGCCCCUUGGUUCGGAAUAACAGUUGGAAACGACUGCUAAUACCGGAUGAUGACGAAAGUCCAAAGAUUUAUCGCCAAGGGAUGAGCCCGCGUAGGAUUAGCUAGUUGGUGAGGUAAAGGCUCACCAAGGCAACGAUCCUUAGCUGGUCUGAGAGGAUGAUCAGCCACACUGGGACUGAGACACGGCCCAGACUCCUACGGGAGGCAGCAGUAGGGAAUAUUGGACAAUGGGCGCAAGCCUGAUCCAGCAAUGCCGCGUGAGUGAUGAAGGCCUUAGGGUUAGUAAAGC
RNAcentral lists this ribosomal RNA (378 nucleotides) under uncultured soil bacterium. RNAcentral's name for it is "bacterial SSU rRNA". It matches the Rfam family "Bacterial small subunit ribosomal RNA", at positions 26 to 431 of the family's 1533-position model. The record is from RNAcentral.